Molecule: non-coding RNA, 321 nt
Organism: Vicia faba (fava bean)
Lineage: Eukaryota; Viridiplantae; Streptophyta; Magnoliopsida; Fabales; Fabaceae
Source: the annotation of a GenBank genome assembly
AUGGAGAGUCAAAAUAAGAGAAAAUCGAUCAUGGUCAAGGAGGGUGAUUCAACUCGGAAAAUUGCUCGUUACUCAUGUGCAUUUUGUGAAAAAACAUAUGAAGCUCGUCAAGCACUAGGAGGACAUCAAUGUGGUAACCAACAUGAGCUAAAUGUCAUACAUGGGAUUAAUCCUAGGCCAAUCCCUCAUCAUCCAAGGGGAAAACUGAGCUUUAGCACUGGAGCUUGUAAGGUUGAUAUGAAAAAUAUCAAUGGAUGGGAAAUGUCGAAGAUAGAUGAAGUGAAAGAGGCUGAUCAUGAUCAAAAUGGUGCAAAAUCUUAA